AGAGAAACUAUCAGCUCCAGCAACAAAAAAUUGUAUAACAAUUCCAAAAGACAAUGCGCCAUUGAUACCAGCUUAUCUAGUAGGAAAAAGUUUCCAUAAAAAACACUUGCAACACAAAAAAUGCGAAGAAAAAAAGCAAAAUCUUAAAUCAUCCUUCAAUGAUACUGAUCGCCCUAACUUGAAAAGUAAUUCAUCUGAGGAACAUGAAGAUGUCACAAAAAGCGUGUCCACUUCUGAAAUAAAAGAAACUCCGGAAGAAAUAAUAAGUAAAUUAAAAAGCAAAAAAUGUGAAUUAACAAAGCAACUUCUAAAGAUUUCCUCUAACACUGCUGUACGACCACAUUUGAAAAGAAAUUUAUCCGAGAAAGAUGAGAAAGUCAUUAAAAAGUCAAAAAUAAAUUCUGGAGUUUCGGUGCCAAGCACGCAAAAUAACAAUAACUUGCCUGCAGUGUCC
Long non-coding RNA from Daktulosphaira vitifoliae (grape phylloxera), 454 nucleotides. RefSeq lists it as uncharacterized. The transcript has 4 exons. NCBI's taxonomy places the organism in Eukaryota, Metazoa, Arthropoda, Insecta, Hemiptera, Phylloxeridae. The record is from RefSeq and is a predicted model, not a curated record.